UGGACAGGGGGGUCUCUGCCGAACGGCGGGGCCUGUCCAACAGGUUGCGCGAAUGCGUGGCCAGUGGUUGUCGCUCGGGGGUGAUCGCCG
This 90-nucleotide small RNA is filed under the name Streptomyces agglomeratus. RNAcentral's name for it is "che1 RNA". It matches the Rfam family "che1 RNA". Lineage: Bacteria; Bacillati; Actinomycetota; Actinomycetes; Kitasatosporales; Streptomycetaceae. The record is from Rfam by way of RNAcentral.